GGCUACCGAUCUGAUGCUCCUGAAGAGUGUGAGAGUGAGUAAGAGAGGAGACAGAGAGGCAGAGAGAGCGAGAAACAAAAUAGAAAGAGGGGAAAAAAAGCUAGUGGAAGCACUAGGAAACAAUCAACGCCACUGUCUUCUGAGACGAAAACGCAUCAGGUCAUCCGAGGAUGGUAGCCGUUUCCAUUGCCUCUCUGUGUGGUGAGUUUGAGCUGUUAUCCAAGGGAAGAGGCAGAGCGGAUGAGAGAAGCAGAUGGACACUCUGGUGGGGCGGGUCAGCUGGUGUUGUGAAUCAGGCCGCCGUAGUGAGAGGGAACGGCUUCUUCACAACACCAGGGUCACACCCUACCACACGCAGCACCAGCGCGCGCGCACACACACACACGGGUCUGUUUUGUACAAUGUCAGGACGUAGGGUUGUACAUGUGAAAAAGCAAUAAGCAUCUGAAAAAUUCAUAUUUAAAGCUGUUUAUCUGGGAGGUAAGCAUAUAUUUGUUUAGCAAAAACACUGUUAGAUUAAAGGCAAAUAAACAACACACACUGUGAUUAAACAUGUUAGUGUAAUGGUGACCAGCACAGAUGAUUUUUAGUGGGCCGGUGACCAGCACAGAUGAUUUUCUUGUUCUUAACACACUCAAUAAACCUGGCAAUUAUAUAGAAUCGAUGUUUUCAAUAAUAAAAAACAAAUUGGUUUCUGAUGAAUGCAUUAAAAUCAUAUUCCAACUAAAUAGUAGGAAACCUGAAAAAAAGAAUUUUCAGAUGGAUCCAGAAUGAAGAACAUGGAGCAUGGUGUGUAUGUACUGUUCUAAAAUGACUGAGAAAGCUGUAUAACAUCAAGAAUGAAAUUAUAACUAACGCAUGAAUAAACCAAAUGCCUUGUAUUUAAAUCUUGAAAAUGAAAAUGUAUUUUUGACCAAAAUGUAUUAUAAAUAAACAAAUAUAAAAAUGUAUUAUAUAUAUAUAUAUAUUGAAAUAUUGAAUACAACAUCUAGAAAUGCCUUUGGUAUCUAGUUUAUGAUAUUAAAAUCUACAUUGUUAUUAUAGGUAAAAGGACAAAGAUUGUUAAUAUGCAACAUAAACAUGCAGCUUUUGCUUACAAUAAAUACCUAGAACUUUAAAGCACUCUCCGUUUUGAUGAUGUGAUACGGUAUGAUAAAAUAGUUUUUUUCUGUUUUAUUUCCUGAAAAUGUACAAAACCCAUAACAAAAAGAUACACAAUGUUGUUUUGUGAAUUCAACAAGUGCGCUGUUUCUUCACCACCACACCCUAACAGACUCCUGAGCACUACCAACUGACGACACAGCUGAGAAGAUUUCAUGAGAGAAAACUGGGCUGAAGCUGCUCUCUUUGGUCACAUCCACAUUAAUGAUUUACUGCUCUGAGAAUAGAUUUAUGGUAGAUGCGACAAUACAAAGCAAAUAUUCAUACAGAGGGUGUUCAUGAUGUGAUGAUGCAAAACCUAUAUAUAAAAUGCAGAAGUUUGCUUUUAUAUAAGAUUUUUUUUUCUCAAGCAAAAAUGUGAUGAUGCAAUGACAGUGUCAUUUUAAUCUAAAUCUGAAUAUAUUUAAAUGGAUUAAGAAUCUACAGAAUGUUCAUAUUUUUGUCUUGAAACUUGAUCUUGAAAGUUUAAAUAUAAA
This is a long non-coding RNA of Pygocentrus nattereri (red-bellied piranha), 1637 nucleotides long. RefSeq lists it as uncharacterized. NCBI's taxonomy places the organism in Eukaryota, Metazoa, Chordata, Actinopteri, Characiformes, Serrasalmidae. The record is from RefSeq and is a predicted model, not a curated record. The transcript has 3 exons.